This 34-nucleotide small RNA is filed under the name Bombyx mori (domestic silkworm). RNAcentral's name for it is "ovarian small RNA-14829". The record is from RNAcentral. Lineage: Eukaryota; Metazoa; Arthropoda; Insecta; Lepidoptera; Bombycidae.
CUGAAAUGACUAAAUGUGAAACACAGUUAGAUGA